GGCUGCAUGGCGCAGUGGGUAGCGCUUUUGUCUAUAAGCCAGGUGGGACCCCUGGGUUCGAACCCCGGCAUGGGGG
Non-coding RNA from Caenorhabditis brenneri, 76 nucleotides. NCBI's taxonomy places the organism in Eukaryota, Metazoa, Nematoda, Chromadorea, Rhabditida, Rhabditidae. The record is from the annotation of a GenBank genome assembly.